GACGAAGGGGGCUAGCGUUGUUCGGAAUUACUGGGCGUAAAGCGUGUGUAGGUGGUUGUCCAAGUUGGAUGUGAAAGCCUUGAGCUCAACUCAAGAAGUGCAUUCAGGACUGGGCGACUAGAGGACCGGAGAGGAUAGUGGAAUUCCCAGUGUAGUGGUGAAAUACGUAGAGAUUGGGAAGAACACCAGUGGCGAAGGCGGCUAUCUGGACGGUUUCUGACACUAAGACACGAAAGCGUGGGGAGCAAACAGG
Molecule: ribosomal RNA, 253 nt
Filed under: uncultured bacterium
Lineage: Bacteria
Description: partial 16S ribosomal RNA
Rfam family: Bacterial small subunit ribosomal RNA
Source: RNAcentral